CACACAACACACACACACACACACACACGCACGCACCCCCGCGCGCACACGCCCGCCCGCUCGCGCUGCCUCUGCGCCUCCAUCCCGGCUCGCUCAUUAUCUCGCCCUCUCGCUUCCCCUGCGGUCUCUCGCUCUGCGCGCACACACCACACACACGCACACGCACACACACGCGCGCACACACGCAGCCGGCACAGGCGGCGGCGGCGGCUGCCCAAGUCAGGACGAACCUAUCUAGGUACCGUCUUGAGAAGGCGGCAGCGGCGGCGGCGGCGGCGGCGGCGGCAGCCCGAGCAUCCCUCCUCUCCCGGAGAGGGAGCACCGCCGAGAGUUUCCGUUCCCUUUGCCAUUCCCUUCCCCCUCCUUUUCUUUUAUUUUCGAGAGAAUUUCUUCUUGGCUUAUUGGUUUAAUUUGAUUUUUAAAAUUUUGGGUUGCUUUUGUGUAUGUGUGCUUUUUUUUUCUUUCCUCAUUUUAUUUGCAUCCAGAGCAUGGCGGGCUGCGGGCUGUCGGAAGACACCCUCUUCUCUUCCUUCUUUUACAACUACGGCUCCUCCUGGGAAACCCCUUCCAACCAGGUAAGGGGUGGCUCGGUGCCGGGCGGCGUCGCGCCCCUUGCCCCCUGCCGCGCGCUCACUUGGUACUUGGUGGGGAGGCAGAGGCUCGGGAGGGGGUGGGGAGGAUGGGGGGCCAAGUGGGUCGCACUGUCUGGGUCAGCGCCAACCGGCGAGAGGAGAUACCCCCCCUUCCCCCAUCGCUAGCUUUCCAGUCUCCAGGUUCUGUCGCGUUCCUCCCGUGCCCAAUCUGCCAUCGACACCUUCCCCCACCACCUCCCAGCCCAGCGGGAACCCGAGAAAGAGGCAGGAGCCGGCGCGUUACCCCGAACAACUCCAGGCAGAACCAGGGAACUCGAGCGCAACCUUCCCCAAGUCGCCGCGGGCGCCGCGCCCCUGUGCGCCCGGCGCCUACCCGCCUUCCAGUUGCGCCGAGGGGCUGCAGAGCCGCAAGCCCCCCGCGACGUGCUGUCCCCCCUCCACUCCCCUCGGGGCCCGAGCCGCCUCUUUCCCUAAAAUGGCUGCAAUCUCAAGUAGAGGCGUCCCCUGACCCGCGGAGGUGGGGGGGGUGGGGUGCAGAGUGGAGCCUCCGCUCCUCCUGACCCCGCGCCUCCCCUGGGGCACAGAAGCACCCCACAAACACACUUAACUUUGAUGACUGUGCAAUGCAGUCCGGCUGCAUCGUGCCCUAGACGCUCCACGCCGCCGGCCUGUAGGUGUGCGUGUCGGUGUGACUCGGGGGGCCCAGGGACGCUGGGGGUAGACGCCGGAAGGGGGGCGUGGAAGGAGAUGGAUGUCAGCGGGCCACUGGUAACCUGGAGAGACAGGCAUGUGCUCAGGGUCUAGGGGUGAAAAAGCUAUUCUGGGAGCUGGAGCGAGAAAUAGAGAGAGGAAAAAUGCCUUUUAAUUAAAUAACUGUUGUAGUCUGCUGCCCCCACCGCUUGUUGGUGAAAGUCUACAGGCAUCUGUCAUCUCCAAACUACGCGGGGAAGUAGAGCUGGGGUCGAGGGAGGGGAGGCAUGUGUGUACGUGUAUGCGUGUGUGUGUGUGUGCACGCGGGUGUGUGUCUGUGUGUGGGUGUGCGCGCGCGCUCGCGUGUCUGGGCUGGGGAAAGUUGGGGCCAGAGGAGCGGUGGAGGAGCAAUGGUGAAAGGCAUU
RNAcentral lists this long non-coding RNA (1708 nucleotides) under Homo sapiens (human). Its description in RNAcentral is "non-protein coding lnc-DHX15-1:3". The record is from RNAcentral. Lineage: Eukaryota; Metazoa; Chordata; Mammalia; Primates; Hominidae.